RNAcentral lists this unclassified non-coding RNA (560 nucleotides) under Ceratocystis manginecans. RNAcentral's name for it is "partial contains ITS1, 5.8S rRNA and ITS2". The stretch from base 160 to 313 matches the Rfam family "5.8S ribosomal RNA". Lineage: Eukaryota; Fungi; Ascomycota; Sordariomycetes; Microascales; Ceratocystidaceae. The record is from RNAcentral.
UGCGCGUACCUAUCUUGUAGUGAGAUGAAUGCUGUUUUGGUGGUAGGGCCCUUCUGAAGAGAGGGCACCGCUGCCAGCAGUAUAGUCUCACCACUAUAAAACUCUUUUAUUAUUUUCUAGAUUUUUCAUUGCUGAGUGGCAUAACUAUAAAAAAGUUAAAACUUUCAACAACGGAUCUCUUGGCUCUAGCAUCGAUGAAGAACGCAGCGAAAUGCGAUAAGUAAUGUGAAUUGCAGAAUUCAGUGAAUCAUCCAAUCUUUGAACGCACAUUGCGCCCGGCUGAAUUCUGCCAGGCGUGCGCGUCCUAGCGCCAUUUCACCCCUCAAGACAUCCUUUGUUCUUGGCGUUGGAGGUCCUGUUCUCCCCCCACCCAGCCGCCCAAAAGUGUCGACUGAAAUAAAUGGCCUCACCCCGGGGAGACACCAAAGUUGCCACAUUUGCCACCCUUGCAAAAUGGUGGAACACCCCCCUAAACCCCCGCCCCACUUUUGGAAAGGUUCUCACACAGAUGCCCUAAUAAGGUCGAAGAACCCCCUGAGGAACCCCCUAUGGCCAACUCC